This 436-nucleotide unclassified non-coding RNA is filed under the name Hevea brasiliensis (rubber tree). Lineage: Eukaryota; Viridiplantae; Streptophyta; Magnoliopsida; Malpighiales; Euphorbiaceae. The record is from RNAcentral.
GCAGAAUUGAUCAAGGCAAUUUGAGUGGCGACGACUAGUAUCACACAUGUAAGGACGGCAACCCUUUUCAUGGGAUGAACAUAUGAGAAGAACUGCGUUAUGAGGAUGUUCCAUGCAGACAGGGCAUCUAACUUCUUCCCACUCUCUCAAAUUAUCCUCACUUCCUAAGGGCAAUUUAGGUGAAGAUCGUCUAGCAUGGCUGGAACUGCAACUGAAUGGAGAUGCUCUAUACCUAUCAUGAGAUGCUGAACGAUCUCUUCUCUCCUUUGGCAUGAUGAGUCUUUUAGAAUAGAAAAAAGAGCUCUAAAGUGCUGAGCAAUCCAAAGAGAAAACGGAUUAAAGCAAUGGAAUCCUGAGAAGUUGUGAGUGAAGAGAUAAUAAUCUUAUCGAUUCGGGAACAAGGAAGACGAUGAAUUGCUCAGACAAUGGAAGCUCG